CCUACGGGUGGCUGCAGUGAGGAAUAUUGGUCAAUGGACGAGAGUCUGAACCAGCAAAGUAGCGUGAAGGAUGACUGCCCUAUGGGUUGUAAACUUCUUUUAUAUGGGAAUAAAAUGUUCCACGUGUGGGAUUUUGUAUGUACCAUAUGAAUAAGGAUCGGCUAACUCCGUGCCAGCAGCCGCGGUAAUACGGAGGAUCCGAGCGUUAUCCGGAUUUAUUGGGUUUAAAGGGAGCGCAGGUGGAUUGUUAAGUCAGUUGUGAAAGUUUGCGGCUCAACCGUAAAAUUGCAGUUGAAACUGGCAGUCUUGAGUACAGUAGAGGUGGGCGGAAUUCGUGGUGUAGCGGUGAAAUGCUUAGAUAUCACGAAGAACUCCGAUUGCGAAGGCAGUUCACUGGACUGCAACUGACACUGAGGCUCGAAAGUGUGGGUAUCAAACAGGAUUAGAUACCCUAGUAGUC
RNAcentral lists this ribosomal RNA (460 nucleotides) under uncultured bacterium. Its description in RNAcentral is "partial 16S ribosomal RNA". It matches the Rfam family "Bacterial small subunit ribosomal RNA", at positions 338 to 795 of the family's 1533-position model. The record is from RNAcentral.